This 363-nucleotide ribosomal RNA is filed under the name Triticum aestivum (bread wheat). Its description in RNAcentral is "partial small subunit ribosomal RNA". The record is from RNAcentral. Lineage: Eukaryota; Viridiplantae; Streptophyta; Magnoliopsida; Poales; Poaceae.
AUGGCCAAGAAAUGCUCUGGCACUAUUGUCUCCUUCCUGCUCUGCUUGGUGCCAACAGCCACGACCGUGCCUGCUACACUUGUUGGCAUGGUGGAUGGAAAAGCCCACUUCAUGGGCAUGGUAGGCAUGGGGAACCGUCUGGGCCUCCCGGCCGUCGGAGACGGCUACGGCCAGGGCUUUAGUUCACCGUUGUUACAGACGAGCUGGUCAGGAUUGGACGAUGUUUUAGUAGCGACUGUCAGGGUGGGUGCAUCGGCUGGGGCUUCCGCAACAAUUGCAACAUUGUUUGGAAGAGGCGUGGGGAGCGGCUUCCAAGCGUAUGGUUUCGAUGGCACUAGCGGUGUCCCUUUCCGAAAAUGCUAG